Molecule: microRNA precursor, 96 nt
Filed under: Anolis carolinensis (green anole)
Lineage: Eukaryota; Metazoa; Chordata; Lepidosauria; Squamata; Anolidae
Description: microRNA aca-mir-219 precursor (aca-mir-219-1)
Gene: aca-mir-219-1
Rfam family: mir-219 microRNA precursor family (bases 14-92)
About the family: The hairpin precursors (represented here) are predicted based on base pairing and cross-species conservation -- their extents are not known. In this case the mature sequence is excised from the 5' arm of the hairpin.
Source: miRBase by way of RNAcentral
UCCAGAAGGAACCUUUGCUCCUGAUUGUCCAAACGCAAUUCUUGUCCAGAAAACAUGCAAACCAAGAAUUGUGUCUGGACAUCUGUGGCCAAGUCU